ACGCUCGACACCUACGAGAGGCAGCAGUGGGGAAUAUUGCACAAUGGGGGAAACCCUGAUGCAGCGACGCCGCGUGGAGGAAGAAGGUCUUCGGAUUGUAAACUCCUGUUGUUGGGGAAAAAGAGGAUGGUACCCAACAAGGAAGUGACGGCUAACUACGUGCCAGCAGCCGUGGUAAUCUGAGCGGGCUGGCAAGGC
RNAcentral lists this ribosomal RNA (198 nucleotides) under uncultured bacterium. RNAcentral's name for it is "partial 16S ribosomal RNA". It matches the Rfam family "Bacterial small subunit ribosomal RNA", at positions 328 to 539 of the family's 1533-position model. The record is from RNAcentral.